CACGUAGGGCGCAAGCGUUGUCCGGAAUUAUUGGGCGUAAAGCGCUCGUAGGCGGCUUGUCACGUCGGGUGUGAAAGCCCGGGGCUUAACCCCGGGUCUGCAUUCGAUACGGGCUAGCUAGAGUGUGGUAGGGGAGAUCGGAAUUCCUGGUGUAGCGGUGAAAUGCGCAGAUAUCAGGAGGAACACCGGUGGCGAAGGCGGAUCUCUGGGCCAUUACUGACGCUGAGGAGCGAAAGCGUGGGGAGCGAACAGG
RNAcentral lists this ribosomal RNA (253 nucleotides) under uncultured bacterium. Its description in RNAcentral is "partial 16S ribosomal RNA". It matches the Rfam family "Bacterial small subunit ribosomal RNA", at positions 524 to 776 of the family's 1533-position model. The record is from RNAcentral.